GGCUGCAGUGGGGAAUAUUGGACAAUGGGCGCAAGCCUGAUCCAGCCAUGCCGCGUGAGUGAUGAAGGCCCUAGGGUUGUAAAGCUCUUUUGUGCGGGAAGAUAAUGACGGUACCGCAAGAAUAAGCCCCGGCUAACUUCGUGCCAGCAGCCGCGGUAAUACGAAGGGGGCUAGCGUUGCUCGGAAUCACUGGGCGUAAAGGGUGCGUAGGCGGGUCUUUAAGUCAGGGGUGAAAUCCUGGAGCUCAACUCCAGAACUGCCUUUGAUACUGAGGAUCUUGAGUUCGGGAGAGGUGAGUGGAACUGCGAGUGUAGAGGUGAAAUUCGUAGAUAUUCGCAAGAACACCAGUGGCGAAGGCGGCUCACUGGCCCG
RNAcentral lists this ribosomal RNA (372 nucleotides) under Klebsiella pneumoniae. RNAcentral's name for it is "bacterial SSU rRNA". It matches the Rfam family "Bacterial small subunit ribosomal RNA", at positions 347 to 736 of the family's 1533-position model. Lineage: Bacteria; Pseudomonadati; Pseudomonadota; Gammaproteobacteria; Enterobacterales; Enterobacteriaceae. The record is from RNAcentral.